This 254-nucleotide ribosomal RNA is filed under the name uncultured bacterium. RNAcentral's name for it is "partial 16S ribosomal RNA". It matches the Rfam family "Bacterial small subunit ribosomal RNA", at positions 524 to 776 of the family's 1533-position model. The record is from RNAcentral.
UACGGGGGGGGGCAAGCGUUGUUCGGAAUUACUGGGCGUAAAGGGUUCGUAGGUGGCUUGUUAAGUCAGACGUGAAAUCCCUCGGCUCAACCGGGGAACUGCGUCUGAGACUGAUGAGCUCGAGUGCAGGAGAGGAACGCGGAAUUCCAGGUGUAGCGGUGAAAUGCGUAGAUAUCUGGAGGAACACCGGUGGCGAAGGCGGCGUUCUGGACUGCAACUGACACUGAGGAACGAAAGCCAGGGGAGCAAACGGG